RNAcentral lists this ribosomal RNA (614 nucleotides) under uncultured bacterium. RNAcentral describes it as "bacterial SSU rRNA". It matches the Rfam family "Bacterial small subunit ribosomal RNA", at positions 11 to 616 of the family's 1533-position model. The record is from RNAcentral.
GUUUGAUCCUGGCUCAGAUUGAACGCUGGCGGCAGGCCUAACACAUGCAAGUCGAGCGGUAGCACAGGGAGCUUGCUCCUGGGUGACGAGCGGCGGACGGGUGAGUAAUGUCUGGGAAACUGCCUGAUGGAGGGGGAUAACUACUGGAAACGGUAGCUAAUACCGCAUAACGUCGCAAGACCAAAGAGGGGGACCUUCGGGCCUCUUGCCAUCAGAUGUGCCCAGAUGGGAUUAGCUAGUAGGUGGGGUAAUGGCUCACCUAGGCGACGAUCCCUAGCUGGUCUGAGAGGAUGACCAGCCACACUGGAACUGAGACACGGUCCAGACUCCUACGGGAGGCAGCAGUGGGGAAUAUUGCACAAUGGGCGCAAGCCUGAUGCAGCCAUGCCGCGUGUAUGAAGAAGGCCUUCGGGUUGUAAAGUACUUUCAGCGAGGAGGAAGGCAUUGUGGUUAAUAACCACAGUGAUUGACGUUACUCGCAGAAGAAGCACCGGCUAACUCCGUGCCAGCAGCCGCGGUAAUACGGAGGGUGCAAGCGUUAAUCGGAAUUACUGGGCGUAAAGCGCACGCAGGCGGUCUGUCAAGUCGGAUGUGAAAUCCCCGGGCUCAACCUG